RNAcentral lists this ribosomal RNA (881 nucleotides) under Agaricus sp. Its description in RNAcentral is "eukaryotic LSU rRNA". It matches the Rfam family "Eukaryotic large subunit ribosomal RNA", at positions 72 to 940 of the family's 3401-position model. The record is from RNAcentral. Lineage: Eukaryota; Fungi; Basidiomycota; Agaricomycetes; Agaricales; Agaricaceae.
GGAUUCCCCUAGUAACUGCGAGUGAAGCGGGAAAAGCUCAAAUUUAAAAUCUGGCAGUCUCUGGCUGUCCGAGUUGUAAUCUAGAGAAGUAAUGCCCGUGCUGGACCGUGUAUAAGUCUCCUGGGAUGGGGCGUCAUAGAGGGUGAGAAUCCCGUCUUUGACACGGACUACCAGURCAUUGUGGUAUGCUCUCAAAGAGUCGAGUUGUUUGGGAAUGCAGCUCAAAAUGGGUGGUAAAUUCCAUCUAAAGCUAAAUAUUGGCGAGAGACCGAUAGCGAACAAGUACCGUGAGGGAAAGAUGAAAAGAACUUUGGAAAGAGAGUUAAACAGUACGUGAAAUUGCUGAAAGGGAAACGCUUGAAGUCAGUCGCGUUGGCUGGGAAUCAGCCUUGCUUUUGCAUGGUGUAUUUUCUGGUUGACGGGUCAGCAUCAAUUUUGACCGCUGGAAAAAGGCCUGGGGAAUGUGGCAGCUUCGGCUGUGUUAUAGCCCCUAGUCGCAUACAGUGGUUGGGAUUGAGGAACUCAGCACGCCGCAAGGCCGGGUUUCGACCACGUUCGUGCUUAGGAUGCUGGCAUAAUGGCUUUAAGCGACCCGUCUUGAAACACGGACCAAGGAGUCUAACAUGCCUGCGAGUAUUUGGGUGGAAAACCCAAGUGCGUAAUGAAAGUGAAAGUUGAGAUCCCUGUCGUGGGGAGCAUCGACGCCCGGACCAGAACUUUUGGGACGGAUCCGCGGUGGAGCAUGUAUGUUGGGACCCGAAAGAUGGUGAACUAUGCCUGAAUAGGGUGAAGCCAGAGGAAACUCUGGUGGAGGCUCGUAGCGAUUCUGACGUGCAAAUCGAUCGUCAAAUUUGGGUAUAGGGGCGAAAGACUAAUCGAAC